CCCAAAACUCAAGAGAGCUACUUACAAGCAGCUAUCACUGAGCAAACCCAUCUCUGUUGCAAAAGAAUGGGAUGACGUGUUAGUAGAGGUGAAAAGCCAAGCAAGCUGGGUGAUAGGUGG
This 120-nucleotide non-coding RNA is filed under the name Cariama cristata (Red-legged seriema). RNAcentral describes it as "Bacterial large subunit ribosomal RNA". It matches the Rfam family "Bacterial large subunit ribosomal RNA", at positions 714 to 852 of the family's 2925-position model. Lineage: Eukaryota; Metazoa; Chordata; Aves; Cariamiformes; Cariamidae. The record is from Rfam by way of RNAcentral.